Molecule: ribosomal RNA, 564 nt
Filed under: Pseudotulostoma japonicum
Lineage: Eukaryota; Fungi; Ascomycota; Eurotiomycetes; Eurotiales; Elaphomycetaceae
Description: partial large subunit ribosomal RNA
Rfam family: Eukaryotic large subunit ribosomal RNA
Source: RNAcentral
AUUGCCUCAGUACGGCGAGUGAAGCGGCAAGAGCUCAAAUUUGAAAUCUUNUNCUCCCCUGGGGUUGGGGGGUCCGAGUUGUAAUUUGGAGAGGAUGCUUCGGGCCGGGUGCCCAUCUAAGUACCCUGGAAUGGGUCGUCAGAGAGGGUGAGAAUCCCGUCUGGGAUGGGUGACCGGGUCUCUGUGAAGCUCCUUCGACGAGUCGAGUUGUUUGGGAAUGCAGCUCUAAGUGGGUGGUAAAUUUCAUCUAAAGCUAAAUACCGGCCGGAGACCGAUAGCGCACAAGUAGAGUGAUCGAAAGAUGAAAAGCACUUUGAAAAGAGAGUUAAAGAGCAUGUGAAAUUGUUGAAAGGGAAGCGCUUGCGACCAGACUCCCGUCGGGGGGGUUCAACCGGGCAUCCGUGCCCGGUGCACUCCCCCCCACGGGGGCCAGCGUCGGUUGGGUGCGUCGCUGAAAGGCCCCCGGAAUGUACCGCCCCUCCGGGGGCGUCUUAUAGCCGGGGGUGCCAUGCGACGCGCCCGACCGAGGAACGCGCGCGCGCCAAGCGGCUCGGACGCUGGCAU